UGCAAUUGCCAAAGUCAUCUAACAAACAAAGAUUUUCCAACCUAAUUCUUCCUGCGUUUGGUUCGGGUAUAAGUAAGAACGGUUAGUUCCAAGGAUAGGUACAAGUUCAGGUAUAAGCAGGAAACUAGAUCAAUUUUGCGUUUGGAUGAAAAUUGGAUUGUUCCUAGGAAUAAAGUAAAUAGUAUUUGGAUGGUUAGAUUGGAACAAGAGGAAUAAGAGUUAUAAUUUGAAAUUAAAAUUAUAUUAUGUAAUUAAUUAACAUCAAAAUAUUACUUAAAAAUAAAUAAAUAAUUAAUUAUUAAUAAUUAAUUAUAAAUAAUAAUAAGUAUUAAUAAUUAUUAAUAAUUAAUUUAUAAAUAAUAAAUUAAUAAUAUUGAAUAUCUAAUUAAUAAUAAUAAUAAUUGAUAAUUAUUAAUAAAAAAAUUAUUAUUAAUUAUUAUUAUUAGUUAAUUAUUAAUUAUUGAAAGAAGGGCUAAAGUGCAUACUUUCUUGAGUUGUAUUAAUGAAUAUAUAUAGUACAAGAGAACAAUGACUACUAUAGUAAGAGUAUAACUAGGAUUACAUACUAUAUAAUCCUACUCUAUAGAAAGCAAUGAUACUACUCUAUAUAAGGUAAUAAUACACAAUANNN
This 631-nucleotide long non-coding RNA is filed under the name Ananas comosus (pineapple). RNAcentral describes it as "long non-coding RNA (ACOM_LNC042494)". The record is from RNAcentral. Lineage: Eukaryota; Viridiplantae; Streptophyta; Magnoliopsida; Poales; Bromeliaceae.